UACAGAGGAUGCAAGCGUUAUCCGGAGUGAUUGGGCGUAAAGCGUCCGCAGGCGGUUUUGUAAGUCUGCUGUUAAAGCGUUAGGCUCAACCUAAUAAGGGCAGUGGAAACUAUGAGACUAGAGUAUGUUAGGGGUAGAGGGAAUUCCCAGUGUAGCGGUGAAAUGCGUAGAGAUUGGGAAGAACACCGGUGGCGAAAGCGCUCUGCUAGGACAAUACUGACACUGAGGGACGAAAGCGAGGGGAGCGAAUGGG
RNAcentral lists this ribosomal RNA (253 nucleotides) under uncultured bacterium. RNAcentral describes it as "partial 16S ribosomal RNA". It matches the Rfam family "Bacterial small subunit ribosomal RNA", at positions 524 to 776 of the family's 1533-position model. The record is from RNAcentral.